AAGCCCGGGGCUCAACCUCGGAACCGCAUUUGAAACUGGCAGGCUAGAGUCUUGUAGAGGGGGGUAGAAUUUCAGGUGUAGCGGUGAAAUGCGUAGAGAUCUGAAGGAAUACCAGUGGCGAAGGCGGCCCCCUGGACAAAGACUGACGCUCAGAUGCGAAAGCGUGGGUAGCAAACAGGAUUAGAUACCCUGGUAGUCCACGCCGUUAACGCUGUCUACUUGGAGGUUGAGGUUUAAGACUUUGGCUUUCAGCGCUAACGCAUUAACGAGACCGCCUGGGGAGUACGGCCGCAAGGUUAAAACUCAAAUGAAUUGACGGGGGCCCGCACAAGCGGUGGAGCAUGUGGUUUAAUUCGAUGCAACGCGAAGAACCUUACCUACUCUUGACAUCCAGCGAAGCCUUUAGAGAUAGAGGCGUGCCUUCGGGAGCGCUGAGACAGGUGCUGCAUGGCUGUCGUCAGCUCGUGUUGUGAAAUGUUGGGUUAAGUCCCGCAACGAGCGCAACCCUUAUCCUUGUUUGCCAGCACGUAAUGGUGGGAACUCCAGGGAGACUGCCGGUGAUAAACCGGAGGAAGGUGGGGACGACGUCAAGUCAUCAUGGCCCUUACGAGUAGGGCUACACACGUGCUACAAUGGCAGAUACAGAGGGCAGCGAAGCUGCGAAGUGGAGCGAAUCCCUUAAAGUUUGUCGUAGUCCGGAUUGGAGUCUGCAACUCGACUCCAUGA
This 726-nucleotide ribosomal RNA is filed under the name uncultured Salinivibrio sp. RNAcentral's name for it is "bacterial SSU rRNA". It matches the Rfam family "Bacterial small subunit ribosomal RNA", at positions 598 to 1323 of the family's 1533-position model. Lineage: Bacteria; Pseudomonadati; Pseudomonadota; Gammaproteobacteria; Vibrionales; Vibrionaceae. The record is from RNAcentral.